GCAGAGCUCUAUGCAAAUCGACUCGAAAGCGGGUUUUUGCAUCGAUGACUACCGAAGUAACGCGAGGAAGGGCCAUCAGUUUUAAGUUUCGAGCUGAACGGAGAAGAGGCAUGCGAAUCGUACGUCGUACGCGAACGAUUUUCGGAGCAGAAAACGAAAGAUUGACGGAACGGAGAGGGUGGUAGUGGUGACUGUGGUCGCGCUGCUACUGCUCUUGGUGAUGGUGGGGGUGGUAGUGGUGAAGAAAAAUGGCGGGAAAAGCCGGUGAGUGCGUGGGCGCAGGAUCGAUGAAGAGCACAAAAUGGCGACGGUAGGGAAGGACGGAACGACUAGAAAGAAGAGGAGGCUGCGAGUGUAGAAGGGGUGGUUUUCAAGGGGGUGGACGGCGUGAGAGGGAGGAAAAGAGAGAUAGACAGAGGGAAAAGAGAAAGAGAAAGAGAGACAGAACGACGAGGAGAGAGCAACGUGCCGCAGAAGGGAGAAAGAUUGCUGGAAUUCGGAGUGGACUUUUCCUUCGUCACGAGACGGACGAACUUUAAUAUGUUUAUAAAAUUCACAUUUAUAGAUCGAAGAUGUUAUUUAAAGAUUCGACCAAAUAUCGACUCAAGGAAGGAGUGUACGACUGGAAACUAUGUAAAAAGUUCGACAGGUUGGCCGGUAGAAAACCGCAGCGAUCGGUGUUAGUCGGGUUUCCAAGAGUUGCUACGGUCGAAUUUGGAAAGAGGACUACGAUGAAAAUGGAACGCAACUUUACAACAUGGACAGACACGUACAGGCGUGACAGGGUGCUGCCCUCUGCGGGCUAAAAUUAGAGGGUGCUGUCCGAAGUUCUCCGCUACACGUUUGCAUUUCCUAUGCACUAUUUCCCACGUGUGGGUGCGUACAGUCCAGUACGAAAGCUGGAUACCUCACCGCAAACGAGAUACACACGUUGCGGAUUCACGGACUCGCUGAUGCAAUAUUUCUAUCAGUUUACCGUGCCGGAAUAUGAAACAAAAAAAAAAGGAAGACUGGACCGCGUGGUUGAGUGGCGAGAGAGUGAGAGAAAGAGAAAAAACGAUAGGGUGGGUAAGAGAUGGCUGAUAGAGAGGGAGGAAAAAAAUGCUUUCGGCUUUCUACGCUCGCCCAAAUAUUUUCGUUUUGUUCUACGCGCUCCUGGCGCUUUUCAAAAUCGAUCUUCCAUUAUCGUCCGAUUCUCCUCUAUAGGUCCGCUGUAACCGAAAUUGAAAGUUUACGCGGUAUAUCCCCCUCCCCACGUUUAUUUAUCGUAUAUGAACUCAUUUUGUAGUCUAUCACUAUUUUCGUCUUAGUAUUUACUUAUCUACUUAGAUUAGAUCGAUGACGUGCAAGAUGUAUUUAUUUGCACAUACGAAACAUUUAUAUCAACGAGCAUCGUCAAUUAUGAGAAGAAAUAUCAAAGAAGGAAAGAUUAAUUGAUCGAUUCAAAAUGACCUUUGCAAGGAACAGGACUAAAUAUAUCGUUCAAUGUUUUUCAACCCCGAAGACGUUUCGCGGUCAGCCUAUUGAGAAAUUUUUACCUCCUGGGCAUCGCGACUCUAAUUAUUCUUUCUUUGACCUUAUAUAAAAAAGAGUCGAUCAAAGAUAAAACUUUUACACAAGAAAAAGAAAUCUCUGUCUCUAAGGGACUUUUGCGAAGGACUGUAUCCGUGUAUCCGGUGUACCCUCUCCAGAGGCAUUAGACGCAGUGUAUCGGCGGCCGUGCUCGUGCGCGAGUAUUAGACACCAUGCCCACAGCUCAUUUGCCAACUCCGGCAAAUUUACCAAAUUUAAAUGCAAAAUCGGCCGGUGCUCCGUCGCUUCGUGAGCGCCUGGCUGAGAGCGAGAUAGAAAGAGAAAGAGAUAGAGAUGGCGAAGGAGAAAGAGGGGAAUAUAGAAGAGGUGGAUGGAUCGAGCAAGAGAGAGAAAGAGAUGAAAAUAGAGAGAGAGCUAAAGGGAAUAGGAACGGUAGACCGAGAGGGUAGUGGCCGCUGUUGGAAUAGGAUGGACGGAUAGCGAACGAGCGUGAAUCUGUAAGAGAGAAAGAGAGGUAGAGAGGGAGAGAGAGCAAGAGAGAGAAAGAGAGAGAUAAAGAGAGAGAGAGAGAGAGAGGGUGGACAGAAUAUAGAUGGAUAGAGGCGCGAUAGUGGAGCGUGCGCGGGAGAAUGAGAGGUAGAAACUCGUCGGUAGUAGGAAACUCAAAUGGUCGCAAUGGUGCAGUAUAGUAGUCGGCUGGUUGUCAGAAGCAGCGUGCGAUUGGUUCACCGGGUAUGCCUGGCCUUUCUACCUUUCCUACGUCGUUCCUGCCUCGUUCCUCUCACUUCCGUCUCCCUUUUCUCAUUUCAGAUAACUCGCGCGAGUCCUUUUGGCUAUUUGCUUUCGUUCUUCACGAUGGCUUUUUUAUCAGCUGAUUUUUCUAUUUCUUUCGAAUUCUAUCGACUUUUCUCAGAUACUUUAUAGACAUUUAGAAUCUAAUGAAUAUAGUAUCAGCUGUUAAAUCACUAUAUCUCGAUCGUCUGCUUACGAAGAGAAACGAUAAAGCGACAACAACAGGAUAGCGAGUUUGUUAGGCCUGUUAGAUUUCGUACCAUGUGACGGGUUUAGUUGAAUUUUUCUUAGAGAACGUUAACAUGUUAUGGAAAUUAUGUCUCUUUAAAUAAAAACAACAAAAACAUAUAAAGAGAGAUGAAAAUAUAUAGAUAUCCUAUAUUCGAAAGAUUAAAAAAAAAAAAACGGUGAAUGGCUAUUUAUUAUUUCAGAACGGUGAAUGUAAUGAGAGAAUGAAAAAAAUUGUUAACCGAUAAAAUACAGUUAGCACUAUCUCGACUGAUCUUUUCCAAAAACUUUUCGUAUCGUUUCUCCUUUUAUGUAAACCACGAACAUUGCCAAAGGGUUAGCAAUUAUUAUUCUCCAUGCACUUCUCGCCGUUUUGUUGUUCAUUGGCUCGACCGUUUAUUAUUCAUCGUUCGUCAUAUAGAGGUGCACGUUACAUACUGUGCGACGUAACGACGUGGCCCGGGAUACAUGUCGUGUGCCCCGCGUUGUUUUACACAAUGUUACAACCGGCUGACGUACUACCGGCCGGGGCAUAAAGGCGUGUAAGAGAAGGACAGAGCGAGGGCCGCAUGUUCAGGGCUGCGUUAAAACGACGAACUUGUUUCACCGAAUGUAGAAUUAUGCUACGUUUGUUUCGGAUCUUUCAUAAAAAUGGACUUUGAGGAAGGUAUUCUUUCUUGUAAAUUUCAUUAUCGUGUGUUAUUAUUACGAUACUUCAAUUAUGUAAUAGAAAAUUAUCUUAAGCUGUAGAAUAAGGAAAAGGAUACAUACGUUAAAUACAAGAUGUAAAAAAUAAUGAAAAUGUAUCUUGUGAUACUAUGUAACAAGAGAGAAAAAGUCUUAAACAGGUAAAGUUUGAUAUUAAUAGAGGAAAUCCGGCGUGCCGUGCUGCGGUAAAUAUAUCUCGGUUCUUCUUCAUGCUUUCUCGUUCCACCGCGGUAAUUUUUAAUCCUAGAGAAAUUUAUGAAACAGUCCGUAUUUCAUUAUACGCCGUAAUAAAGAUGUAGAUAGAUAAUCAUGGAAGUCCUUAAUUAAAAUCAUUACUUUCGUUGGUAAAAGUUUGAGACGCGUGGGACUCUUUUUGGUCGUGUUCUUGUUCACGUGUCUCGUGACAUAGAGAUUUUAUUUUUGAAGAAUCGUUUAGAAAAAUGAUCAUUACAAAAAAAGGAUUAAAAUCGAAGUAUCGACGAUGUUCACGAUCUUGCGAAGAUGUAAAAAAACUACGAACUAUCGUAAAUAUUUUACAAAGAAAUCUCUCUUUACAUUAUGUAUUCGCAUUUGGUAAUAGCCCUAAGCAAGAAUGAAAUAUGUAUGAUUACACACAUUUCAAUAUAAUUACAAUACAUUAUAAUAUCCGGUGCAGUCUUCAAUUAUUCUAUGCAAAUUCCAAAUAUGUAUAUCUAAGAGACUUUUAAAAUCGAAUGAAUGUAUUUCGAGAUAAUAUAUGAAAGAUUCAAAAGAAAUAUAUAUAUAUAUAAUAUAUACUUAUAGAUAUAAAGAAGAACAGAGAGGGAUGUAUAAAAAGAAAUUAAUAAGCGAAAAUGCAUAGACAGUAAUGAAAAUAUAAUAGUCUACGUUCCCUUUAAUAUCGAAAUUUUGCGAGUUGGAUAAAGCUUCCUCGUUUCGGUGAUAAUUUCGACCGAUCAGUAAGGAUAGCGUCGCGUUUUGCGUUUCGCACAUGUAUUUUCUCUUUACUGUUAGCACCUAACAAAAAACUCACGAUUGCAUGUCACCAUGCGUGUGUCCAUAAAAUAAUCGACAAAAUAAUGGAUCGGGUACGUCGACCACUGAUUUUAUUGCAUAAAGAAUGUUAUUAUCCUUUACAAUAUUCAUCAUGUUUUUCAGACGCGUACGAAUUGCGUUUUUAUAAUUAUCGCGAAUGGAACCGUGCGUUAACGCGAGGUAUUCGAGUGCGCGAGAGCACACGCGCAUGAGUGCUAAUGAAACCGAUGAAACAUUGCACUGUUAUACUCAUCGAAUUCAGAUUGACGCAGAGAACGCGAAAGAUCUUGCUUGUUACGAGAUAUAGAUUAUAUUUAAGGCUUAGACGUGUGUGAAGCAUAUUGAAUAGCAGGAAAGAGAACGACUCUGCGUAUCGAUCGCAAGUUUAUUUUGAUUAUAUAAGUUUUCUUCUUUUUUAUAUAUAUUGGCGAAACAAAUUUUGUAGCUUUGUAUACUAUAUACGAGAAAAGGUUGCUUGUAUGUUUUUCUUUGCGUUUCAUUGUUAUUUUAUCUAAAUAUACUUAUUCUUUGUGACUUUAGUUUAAUGAGAAGCAAUAUCUAAUAUUCUUUAAUAUGCUGUAAAAAUACGAAGUAGAUCAAAUUAAUGUUAUUUUAUUCAUCUUUCUUUUUCUUUCUUAUUAUUAUAUUCGUUAUUAUUUCUUCGACCAACAUUUUGUGAACCGAAAACGACACGUGUCAUGAUGUAACAUAUGCCUUUUGCUUGUGUUAGAUACACGUAUAGAAAGAGCUCGAGAAAUGGCGGAAAAGAGGAAUUUUGUGAAAAAGGGAGGCCGAGAGACUUGAACCAUUUAUAUUCGACCCUCUUAAAAUGCGUGGGAAUGCGGGCAUCAUUAACGUUCCUCCCCUUAAGCGUUCCUCACUAUUCCUCUUCCUCUCUCUUUCGCUCUCUUUCUCUCUGUGUCUUAUGGUUGAUGCACGCUCUCCUCGAGCUUUAUUAACCAGUUGCGGUGGCCGAGCUCGCGCUAUCCAAUAAGCUUGUGGCUCGUCUAUCGUAUCUUUUUUAGCGUUUUACAACAAACACGCCUGGUGUUUUUACAUAUCGGUUUGCGAAAAAUAUCUGUAAUGCGAUAAUUUUCUUCCCUUAGAAAAUAAUUAAGACAAACGAACGAUAGAUCGAAUUUGUCAGAAAUUUUUAUAUUCUUAUUUUGCUAAAAAUAUGUAUCAAAAGACAAUAAAUAACUAUGUAUCAAAAAUAA
Vespula vulgaris is the source of this 5492-nucleotide long non-coding RNA. RefSeq lists it as uncharacterized. The transcript is spliced from 3 exons. The record is from RefSeq and is a predicted model, not a curated record. Lineage: Eukaryota; Metazoa; Arthropoda; Insecta; Hymenoptera; Vespidae.